GAUGAACGCUGGCGGCGUGCCUAAUACAUGCAAGUCGAGCGAACAGACGAGGAUCUUGCUCCUCUGACGUUAGCGGCGGACGGGUGAGUAACACGUGGAUAACCUACCUAUAAGACUGGGAUAACUUCGGGAAACCGGAGCUAAUACCGGAUAAUAUAUUGAACCGCAUGGUUCAAUAGUGAAAGACGGUUUUGCUGUCACUUAUCGAUGGAUCCGCGCCGCAUUAGCUAGUUGGUAAGGUAACGGCUUACCAAGGCAACGAUGCGUAGCCGACCUGAGCGGGUGAUCGGCCACACUGGAACUGAGACACGGUCCAGACUCCUAAGGGAGGCAGCAGUAGGGAAUCUUCCGCAAUGGGCGAAAGCCUGACGGAGCAACGCCGCGUGAGUGAUGAAGGUCUUCGGAUCGUAAAACUCUGUUAUUAGGGAAGAACAAAUGUGUAAGUAACUAUGCACGUCUUGACGGUACCUAAUCAGAAAGCCACGGCUAACUACGUG
Molecule: ribosomal RNA, 497 nt
Filed under: uncultured bacterium
Lineage: Bacteria
Description: partial 16S ribosomal RNA
Rfam family: Bacterial small subunit ribosomal RNA
Source: RNAcentral